Molecule: ribosomal RNA, 491 nt
Filed under: uncultured bacterium
Lineage: Bacteria
Description: bacterial SSU rRNA
Rfam family: Bacterial small subunit ribosomal RNA
Source: RNAcentral
GAUGAACGCUAGCUACAGGCUUAACACAUGCAAGUCGAGGGGCAGCAUGGUCUUAGCUUGCUAAGGCCGAUGGCGACCGGCGCACGGGUGAGUAACACGUAUCCAACCUGCCGUCUACUCUUGGACAGCCUUCUGAAAGGAAGAUUAAUACAAGAUGGCAUCAUGAGUUCACAUGUUCACAUGAUUAAAGGUAUUCCGGUAGACGAUGGGGAUGCGUUCCAUUAGAUAGUAGGCGGGGUAACGGCCCACCUAGUCUUCGAUGGAUAGGGGUUCUGAGAGGAAGGUCCCCCACAUUGGAACUGAGACACGGUCCAAACUCCUACGGGAGGCAGCAGUGAGGAAUAUUGGUCAAAUGGACGAGAGUCUGAACCAGCCAAGUAGCGUGCAGGAUGACGGCCCUAUGGGUUGUAAACUGCUUUUAUAAGGGAAUAAAGUGAGUCUCGUGAGACUUUUUGCAUGUACCUUAUGAAUAAGGACCGGCUAAUUCCGUG